CCUACGGGAGGCAGCAGUGAGGAAUAUUGGUCAAUGGGCGCGAGCCUGAACCAGCCAAGUCGCGUGAGGGAAGACGGUCCUAUGGAUUGUAAACCUCUUUUGUCGGGGAGCAAAAGACGCCACGCGUGGCGUUCCGAGAGUACCCGAAGAAAAAGCAUCGGCUAACUCCGUGCCAGCAGCCGCGGUAAUACGGAGGAUGCGAGUGUUAUCCGGAUUUAUGGGGUUUAAAGGGUGCGCAGGCGGAAGAUCAAGUCAGUGGUAAAAUUGAGAGGCUCAACCUCUUCGAGCCGUUGAAACUGGUUUUCUUUAGUGAGCGAGAAGUAUGAGGAAUGCGUGGUGUAGCGGUGAAAUGCAUAGAUAUCACGCAGAACUCCGAUUGCGAAGGCAGCAUACCGGCGCUCAACUGACGCUCAUGCACGAAAGUGUGGGUAUCGAACAGGAUUAGAUACCCCAGUAGUC
This 459-nucleotide ribosomal RNA is filed under the name uncultured bacterium. Its description in RNAcentral is "partial 16S ribosomal RNA". It matches the Rfam family "Bacterial small subunit ribosomal RNA", at positions 338 to 795 of the family's 1533-position model. The record is from RNAcentral.